Molecule: ribosomal RNA, 447 nt
Filed under: uncultured bacterium
Lineage: Bacteria
Description: SSU rRNA
Rfam family: Bacterial small subunit ribosomal RNA
Source: RNAcentral
AGAGCGAACGCUGGCGGCAGGCCUAAUACAUGCAAGUCGAACGGACCCUUCGGGGUUAGUGGCGGACGGGUGAGUAACACGUGGGAACGUGCCCUUUGGUUCGGAACAACACAGGGAAACUUGUGCUAAUACCGGAUAAGCCCUUACGGGGAAAGAUUUAUCGCCAAAAGAUCGGCCCGCGUCUGAUUAGCUAGUUGGUGAGGUAACGGCUCACCAAGGCGACGAUCAGUAGCUGGUCUGAGAGGAUGAUCAGCCACAUUGGGACUGAGACACGGCCCAAACUCCUACGGGAGGCAGCAGUGGGGAAUAUUGGACAAUGGGCGCAAGCCUGAUCCAGCCAUGCCGCGUGAGUGAUGAAGGCCCUAGGGUUGUAAAGCUCUUUUGUGCGGGAAGAUAAAUGACGGUACCGCAAGAAUAAGCCCCGGCUAACUUCGUGCCAGCAGCCGC